This 460-nucleotide ribosomal RNA is filed under the name uncultured bacterium. Its description in RNAcentral is "bacterial SSU rRNA". It matches the Rfam family "Bacterial small subunit ribosomal RNA", at positions 27 to 507 of the family's 1533-position model. The record is from RNAcentral.
GGACGAACGCUGGCGGCACGCCUAACACAUGCAAGUCGAACGGAGAAAAUAGCUUCGGUGUUUCUUAGUGGCGGACGGGUGAGUAACACGUGAGGAACCUGCCUCUGAGAGUGGGAUAGCUUCUGGAAACGGAUGGUAAUACCGCAUAACAUAGCGAAACCGCAUGAUUUUGCUAUCAAAGUAUUUCGCUCAGAGAUGGCCCGCGUCUGAUUAGUUAGUUGGCGGUGUAACGGACCACCAAGGCGACGAUCAGUAGCCGACCUGAGAGGGUGACCGGCCACAUUGGGACUGAGACACGGCCCAAACUCCUACGGGAGGCAGCAGGUGGGGAAUAUUGCACAAUGGGGGAAACCCUGAUGCAGCGACGCCGCGUGAGCGAAGAAGUAUUUCGGUAUGUAAAACUCUAUCAGCAGGGAAGAUAAUGACGGUACCUGACUAAGAAGCACCGGCUAAAUACGUG